UGGGGAAUUUUGCACAAUGGGCGCAAGCCUGAUGCAGCAACGCCGCGUGAACGAUGAAGGUCUUCGGAUCGUAAAGUUCUGUUGCAGGGGAAGAUAAUGACGGUACCCUGUGAGGAAGCCCCGGCUAACUACGUGCCAGCAGCCGCGGUAAUACGUAGGGGGCUAGCGUUAUCCGGAUUUACUGGGCGUAAAGGGUGCGUAGGUGGUCCUUCAAGUCGGUGGUUAAAGGCUACGGCUCAACCGUAGUAAGCCGCCGAAACUGGAGGACUUGAGUGCAGGAGAGGAAAGUGGAAUUCCCAGUGUAGCGGUGAAAUGCGUAGAUAUUGGGAGGAACACCAGUAGCGAAGGCGGCUUUCUGGACUGCAACUGACACUGAGGCACGAAAGCGUGGGUAGCAAACAGG
Molecule: ribosomal RNA, 403 nt
Filed under: Verrucomicrobiota bacterium
Lineage: Bacteria; Pseudomonadati; Verrucomicrobiota
Description: Verrucomicrobia bacterium partial 16S ribosomal RNA
Rfam family: Bacterial small subunit ribosomal RNA
Source: RNAcentral